This 248-nucleotide ribosomal RNA is filed under the name uncultured Intestinimonas sp. Its description in RNAcentral is "partial 16S ribosomal RNA". It matches the Rfam family "Bacterial small subunit ribosomal RNA", at positions 524 to 771 of the family's 1533-position model. The record is from RNAcentral. Lineage: Bacteria; Bacillati; Bacillota; Clostridia; Eubacteriales.
UACGUAGGUGGCGAGCGUUAUCCGGAUUUACUGGGUGUAAAGGGCGUGUAGGCGGGCUUGCAAGUCAGAUGUGAAAUUCCACGGCUCAACCGUGGAACUGCAUUUGAAACUGUAGGUCUUGAGUGCUGGAGAGGCAAUCGGAAUUCCGUGUGUAGCGGUGAAAUGCGUAGAUAUACGGAGGAACACCAGUGGCGAAGGCGGAUUGCUGGACAGUAACUGACGCUGAGGCGCGAAAGCGUGGGGAGCAA